AUUUGAGCAGUAGCGGAGCGUUCUGUAGGCCGAUGAAGCCAUACCCGGGAGGGAUGGUGGAGGUAUCAGAAGUGAGAAUGCUGACAUGAGUAGCGACAAAGAGUGUGAGAGACACUCUCGCCGAAAGUCCAAGGGUUCCUGCGCAAUGCUAAUCAGCGCAGGGUAAGCCGGCCCCUAAGGCGAGGCCGAAAGGCGUAGUCGAUGGGAACCAGGUUAAUAUUCCUGGGCCAGCGGGUAGUGACGGAUUGCGGACGUUGUACACUCUUACUGGAUUGAGUGUGCAGCCAAGCCGUCCCUGGAAAUAGCUCCCGCAUGAGACCGUACCCCAAACCGACACA
RNAcentral lists this ribosomal RNA (338 nucleotides) under Schmidingerella taraikaensis. RNAcentral describes it as "partial Bacterial large subunit ribosomal RNA". It matches the Rfam family "Bacterial large subunit ribosomal RNA", at positions 1219 to 1661 of the family's 2925-position model. The record is from RNAcentral. Lineage: Eukaryota; Ciliophora; Spirotrichea; Tintinnida; Rhabdonellidae.